AGUGAACGCUGGCGGUAGGCCUAACACAUGCAAGUCGAACGGCAGCACAGUAAGAGCUUGCUCUUACGGGUGGCGAGUGGCGGACGGGUGAGGAAUACAUCGGAAUCUACUUUUUCGUGGGGGAUAACGUAGGGAAACUUACGCUAAUACCGCAUACGACCUACGGGUGAAAGCAGGGGAUCUUCGGACCUUGCGCGAUUGAAUGAGCCGAUGUCGGAUUAGCUAGUUGGCGGGGUAAAGGCCCACCAAGGCGACGAUCCGUAGCUGGUCUGAGAGGAUGAUCAGCCACACUGGAACGGAGACACGGUCCUGACUCCUACGGGAGGCAGCAGUGGGGAAUAUUGGACAAUGGGCGCAAGCCUGAUCCAGCCAUACCGAGUGGGUGAAGAAGGCCUUCGGGUUGUAAAGCCCUUUUGUUGGGAAAGAAAAGCAGCAGGUUAAUACCCCGCUGUUCUGACGGUACCCAAAGAAUAAGCACCGGCUAACUUCGUG
Molecule: ribosomal RNA, 492 nt
Filed under: uncultured bacterium
Lineage: Bacteria
Description: partial 16S ribosomal RNA
Rfam family: Bacterial small subunit ribosomal RNA
Source: RNAcentral